ACGUUUGGGCGAGGCUACUGGAGGAGCUCCCCUCCCCCGCCCCUCAGCAUCCCCAUCCCCUGGAGUUCUGCUUUCUUGAAGGGUGUAGGAAGAAAGGCAGAAUGGGAACUUCCGCAGAGGCUGCAAUGUCCAUCGAAAAACAGUUUAAAGGGAGGAUGAGAACCUAUGUUCAGCCUCCCUUUCUUUUGUAGAUUAGGGAACCGAGGUCCGUAAUGUUUAAACAACUAGAUCAAUUUUUCUCGAGGUGAAUCGUAAUAAAACCUGAACAAAAUAAAACCCCACCACAGCCCUUAAUGCCUGCACCCUGCGGGACCCAUUCCUACACUCCGUGGCCUGGACAGGAAGUUGCUAUUUGCAUUUGGGAGAUUGCCAGCUCUGGGAUGAGGGUGAGAGUCAUCUUGGUUUCUCCAGGUCUGCGUGGAGCCAACAUUGUUGAUUUGAAUCCAGCAAAGAGCUGGACUUUGACUGUGGCGGCCAAGAUAGGGAUGGAGCCUUAUAUGAGUGAAACUUCACAAGUGGACAGAGCUUCUGUGGAAGAGUGCCCUCUUUAGAUACGCACAUAUUCAGAUAAUGCCGAAAAACUUAUCUGGAUAUUAGAGACAUUCCUGUGACCCUGUAAAUUUAUUGACACUUCAAAUGCAACAGCUGGGAAUCCAGCCUGGAAGAAAGAGAAAGGAGAAGAGAAACCAGAAGCAGUGACUGAGGCACAGGAGAGCUAAAGGAGAAAAAACUUUACUUAAUUUAUUCACAUUAUUGACUUUUCAAGUGGCCAGAAGACAAAAAAAAAUAUAUGCACUGGACUUAUGUACCAUAUCCUCUAAUACUUCGAGUAGUUACAUGGGCAGAUAAACUGAUACCUGUAUCAACUACAAAUUCAAAGCUCUUAGGAGGAAUACAGAAGUCUUAUAUGCAAGAACCAAAGACUGUUAUUAAUGUUAUAUAGGUAGUUACCCACAGGAAACCUAUAUGUUGAGAAGUGAAUGAUAUUAUGGAAAGGAAUGAUAACCUUGUUUAUGUCUGUCAAAAGCUGGUAUAUCAAAAUAAAAAGGUUGUGGAAAAUGUGGGGGUGA
Long non-coding RNA from Antechinus flavipes (yellow-footed antechinus), 1070 nucleotides. RefSeq lists it as uncharacterized. NCBI's taxonomy places the organism in Eukaryota, Metazoa, Chordata, Mammalia, Dasyuromorphia, Dasyuridae. The record is from RefSeq and is a predicted model, not a curated record. The transcript has 4 exons.